This is a long non-coding RNA of Camelina sativa (false flax), 805 nucleotides long. RefSeq lists it as uncharacterized. Lineage: Eukaryota; Viridiplantae; Streptophyta; Magnoliopsida; Brassicales; Brassicaceae. The record is from RefSeq and is a predicted model, not a curated record.
AAAGCUACAGAUAAACUGUGUAGCUAAUUUAUUACAAGUUUUGUUACGAACUUAUUUGUAGGAACGAGCCUCGAAUAAAUAAGUUUUAAGUGCCCUAUAUUUUCCCUUCUCUAUACAAUGAACCAAAAANAAAAAAAAAAAAAAAAAAAAAAAAAGAAAUCCCCAAACUGAAAUCUAGGUCUUCUCGACUCCGCCACAGACUCCACCGUGAAGCUCGUCGCCGUCCUCAUUUCGCAUCCAUUCCGUCAACUCUAAGCCUGAGACUGAAGACGCCAACGGAGACAACACCAAUCGGGGGAAAGAUCGAGACUGAGAUUGAGAUGGGGACCGAGUACGUGACCGCGACUGGGAGAGUGAUAGGGGUGAGAUCGAGAUUGCGAUAGGAAUAGAGACAGAGAGCGAGAGAGAGAGAGAGACCAUGAGCGUGACUGUUGAGGUUCAGAUUGUGUGAAACAAUCAAGAGUUUUAGGUUCGUCAUAUUCGUCCACGUGCACCCACCAGUGUCUGACUAUUUGGAGUUUCCAACAUGGAGCGGUUUGUGAUACUCAUAAUCAUUUCCUCAAAAAAAGAAGCUUCCAGCUUUUGGAGUAGUGGGUUCCAAGCUCUGUGAGAAAGUUUGAAUCAUGCCAAGGACCUCAGAUCAGGAGAACAUUAACAUGAAUGAAGAGUCUUGUAUCCAUCAUUAUAUAGAAGGAUGAUAGUUUAUAAGUAUUUUUUCGAGACUGGGUGAAUAAUGUUUGUUUUAUGAAAUGAUGUGUAUCUUGUGGAUGUUUAUUAUAUAUAAAUUGGAUAUUUUUCAAAUUAA